RNAcentral lists this ribosomal RNA (253 nucleotides) under uncultured bacterium. RNAcentral's name for it is "partial 16S ribosomal RNA". It matches the Rfam family "Bacterial small subunit ribosomal RNA", at positions 524 to 776 of the family's 1533-position model. The record is from RNAcentral.
UACGUAGGGUCCGAGCGUUGUCCGGAGUUACUGGGCGUAAAGCGCGCGCAGGCGGCGGUGCUGGCCCGGCGUGAAAGCCCCCGGCUCAACCGGGGAGGGUCGUCGGGGACCGCACCGCUUGAGGGCGGUAGGGGCUGGUGGAAUGCCUGGUGUAGUGGUGAAAUGCGUAGAGAUCAGGCGGAACACCCGUGGCGACGGCGGCCAGCUGGGCCGUCCCUGACGCUGAGGCGCGAAGGCGUGGGGAGCGAACGGG